UACGAAGGGGGCUAGCGUUGCUCGGAAUUACUGGGCGUAAAGCGCACGUAGGCGGCUUUCUAAGUCGGGGGUGAAAUCCUGGAGCUCAACUCCAGAACUGCCUUCGAUACUGGGAGAGCGUCGAGUCCGGGAGAGGUGAGUGGAACUGCGAGUGUAGAGGUGAAAUUCGUAGAUAUUCGCAAGAACACCAGUGGCUGAAGGCGGCUCACUGGCCCGGGUACUGACGCUGAGGUGCGAAAAGCGUGGGGAGCAACAGG
This 257-nucleotide ribosomal RNA is filed under the name uncultured bacterium. Its description in RNAcentral is "partial 16S ribosomal RNA". It matches the Rfam family "Bacterial small subunit ribosomal RNA", at positions 524 to 775 of the family's 1533-position model. The record is from RNAcentral.